GUUUUCUGAUGAACCAUUAUUUCAGUUCUGCUUCCGAACGAGAGAGUCAACCUCUUGUGGACAACUUUAUACCAAAUUUUUUUUCUGACCU
RNAcentral lists this small nucleolar RNA (91 nucleotides) under Leucoagaricus sp. SymC.cos. Lineage: Eukaryota; Fungi; Basidiomycota; Agaricomycetes; Agaricales; Agaricaceae. The record is from RNAcentral.